GCUGGGCAUAGUGGUGUGUGCCUGUAAUCCCAGCUACUUGGGAGGCUGAGGUGGGAGAAUUGCUUGAACCUGGGAGGCAGAGGUUGCAGUGAGCUGAGAUUGUGCCACCACACUCUAUCCUGGGCAACAGAGCAAGACUCCAUCUCAA
RNAcentral lists this non-coding RNA (148 nucleotides) under Chlorocebus sabaeus (green monkey). The record is from Rfam by way of RNAcentral. Lineage: Eukaryota; Metazoa; Chordata; Mammalia; Primates; Cercopithecidae.